GAGGCAGGUCGAAUAGCCGCCUUUCCCGAUUUACUCGGGAAGGGAGGAAAGUCCGAGCCCAGAGGGCAAGCGCAUCCCGAUAAUCUCGGGACUCCUGGACUGCUAGUCCAGGAAGGAUAAGAGCCACAGAGACGUAGCCCUGAACCAGUUAUGGUUCAGGGGUGAAACGUGGCAAUCUCUGCGCGGGGUAAGGCCAAAUAACCCAUGGCUGGCCCGGCCAAUGGGUGGGUAGGCCGCAUGAAUCCCGAUGCAAAUCGGGAACAAGAUAAAUGGCUAUGUAAACAGAACUCGGCUUACGAACCUGCCUCUGCA
This 312-nucleotide RNase P RNA is filed under the name Candidatus Omnitrophota bacterium. RNAcentral's name for it is "Candidatus Omnitrophica bacterium RNase P RNA component class A". It matches the Rfam family "Bacterial RNase P class A". Rfam says of the family: Ribonuclease P (RNase P) is a ubiquitous endoribonuclease, found in archaea, bacteria and eukarya as well as chloroplasts and mitochondria. Its best characterised activity is the generation of mature 5'-ends of tRNAs by cleaving the 5'-leader elements of precursor-tRNAs. Cellular RNase Ps are ribonucleoproteins. Lineage: Bacteria; Pseudomonadati; Candidatus Omnitrophota. The record is from RNAcentral.